GACCCCGCACAAGCAGCGGAGCAUGUUGUUUAAUUCGAAGCAACGCGAAGAACCUUACCAGGGCUUGACAUCUAGCAAAUCCUUUGGAAACAGAGGAGUGCCCUUCGGGGAAUGCUAAGACAGGUGGUGCAUGGUUGUCGUCAGCUCGUGUCGUGAGAUGUUGGGUUAAGUCCCGCAACGAGCGCAACCCUUACGGUCAGUUACCAGCGAGUUAAGUCGGGGACUCUGACAGGACAGCCGGGGUAACCCGGAGGAAGGUGGGGACGACGUCAAAUCAUCAUGCUCCUUACGUCCUGGGCUACAAACGUGCUACAAUGGACACAACAAAGGGCAGCAAGGCAGUAAUGCGGAGCGAAACCGAGAAAAGUGUUACUCAGUUCGGAUUGAGGGCUGCAACCCGCCCUCAUGAAGUUGGAGUUGCUAGUAAUCGCAAAUCAAGAAUGUUG
RNAcentral lists this ribosomal RNA (446 nucleotides) under uncultured Bacillota bacterium. RNAcentral's name for it is "bacterial SSU rRNA". It matches the Rfam family "Bacterial small subunit ribosomal RNA", at positions 920 to 1359 of the family's 1533-position model. Lineage: Bacteria; Bacillati; Bacillota. The record is from RNAcentral.